GCAUUUGAAUACUUUUUAAAUCUGAGACAACCACAAGAGGAUGAUAAGCACACCAAAAAUGACAUAGGGUGAAAUAGUCAAGAAGGAUUCAGCAUCACUAGUUAAUAUACCUUAUAAAAAAUGUAGCCUUAAACUGAGCAAAAGUGCAAAACGGAGGAAAAGAAGGCCUUUCUAAACAAUCCCAACUAGAUUAGGAUGAGCAAUUUGGAGCCAACAAAUGGCAUUUGGGAUCCCAACUACUUGCUGG
This 247-nucleotide unclassified non-coding RNA is filed under the name Hevea brasiliensis (rubber tree). Lineage: Eukaryota; Viridiplantae; Streptophyta; Magnoliopsida; Malpighiales; Euphorbiaceae. The record is from RNAcentral.